GCAAUUAUUACUCAAAAGAUCAAUAUAUAUAUUAGGAACAGAUCUUAGAAAUGUAUAUAUUAUAUAUUUUUUUGAGAGAUAGGUAGCACGCUACCCGCUUCGUUUAUUUCAUUUAGAAAUAAACUUAGCUAGAAAUGUGAAUCAAUUAGGAUUCGAACUUGGGUCUCGGGUAUCAAUCACCAAACCCUUUGCCACUUGCUCUAGAGACGGUCGGUAUGUAUAUAUUAUAUUAACACCUCUAUUCACGUACAUGAUGGAUACGAAAAGAUCGAAAGAAUUUAGAAUUAGUUUUAAUAUCAUAUUAUCUGAAAGAUCGAUUUAUUAGAAAAUAGUCCAAAAAUCUAUAUAUUACAGUAGUAAGAGUUGGUACAGCAAUAUAAAAUGAUCAAUCCUAAGUGAGAAAUGAGGAAUAUAUCACUUGCGGUCGAGUCGAGCAUUUAUUUGAAGCUUCGCCUGCUUCAAGUUGAGCAUUUCCAUCAUCUUCCUGAUUGAGCUUUUUUAACCGAUGUAUAAUCUUCGGUAUGCAUUAUGCACUACCUCAGUAUAAGAUUAUCACAUGUUUAUUAAUUAUCUUUGAAUCUUCCAUAAGAAAUAACACAUUUUAGCUAGCUUAUGCACUUCAUAUAUAUAUAUAUAUAUAUAGAGUUGAGCUAGAAUACUCUCGAUAGUAAACGAGGCGUUUUACUAUCGAGUUGUUUUCGAUGAUAAAGCUUCCAAAUUGACGAUCGGCUCCGUUGAACAUGAUCUAUACCACUUGAAGUGUUUAGAAAUCAAAUUUCAAAUCUUUUCGACAUCAUUUGCCUAAUGAUCAAAGGGUUUCAAAAUUUGUAAUUUUAAUGGUGGAUAAGAGACGUUUUCUCGUUUAACGGUGUAAAGAUAUCCAAAUCAAUUGAAUUUUUGUUAGAAAAUUUUUAAACUAUUUAAAACAAGAUCUAUACUCUUGAUCUUGAUUACAAGACUCCUAUCAUCACUUUUUAAAGAAUAUUCAUUUUCAGCCAUUCAUUUUUUGUUCACUAGAUGGAUAAAAGAACAAUAUCGAAAGUGCGUGAAAUUUGAUUUGUAGAUAGUUUAAAUGGUUUAGAUCAUAUUUAACGGAGUCGAUCGUCAAUUUGAAAGCUCUAUCAUCGAAAACAACUCGAUAGCAAAACGCCCCGUUUACUAUCGAGAGUAUUCUAGCUCAACUAUAUAUAUAUAUAUAUAUAUAUAUACAUAUAUAUAUAUACAUAUAUACAUACAUAUAUAUACAUAUAUACAUACAUAUAUAUGAGUCCGGCUACUAUGCUAUUAAUAGCACGAAGCACUUGGUGCUACCAAGUUUUCUGCAGUUAGAUCUAUCAUUUUGAUCAUUUUCAUCCGUUAGAUCAUACUAUUCAACCAACCACCCACUCAAUCCUAAGGGGCCCACAUCAUCCUAACCGCACAUCUCUUAAUCCAAUGGCCAAAAACUUGAUAGCACUAAUGACUUCGUGCUAUUAAUAGCAUAGUAGCCUAGUUCAUAUAUAU
This 1503-nucleotide long non-coding RNA is filed under the name Ananas comosus (pineapple). Its description in RNAcentral is "long non-coding RNA (ACOM_LNC002715)". Lineage: Eukaryota; Viridiplantae; Streptophyta; Magnoliopsida; Poales; Bromeliaceae. The record is from RNAcentral.